This 429-nucleotide ribosomal RNA is filed under the name Bacteroidota bacterium. RNAcentral describes it as "Bacteroidetes bacterium partial 16S ribosomal RNA". It matches the Rfam family "Bacterial small subunit ribosomal RNA", at positions 355 to 776 of the family's 1533-position model. The record is from RNAcentral. Lineage: Bacteria; Pseudomonadati; Bacteroidota.
UAGGGAAUCUUCGGCAAUGGGGGGAACCCUGACCGAACAACGCCGCGUGAGUGAAGAAGGUUUUCGGAUCGUAAAGCUCUGUUGUUAAGGAAGAACGAGUGUGAGAAUGGAAAGUUCAUACUGUGACGGUACUUAACCAGAAAGGGACGGCUAACUACGUGCCAGCAGCCGCGGUAAUACGUAGGUCCCGAGCGUUGUCCGGAUUUAUUGGGCGUAAAGCGAGCGCAGGCGGUUAGAUAAGUCUGAAGUUAAAGGCAGUGGCUCAACCAUUGUAGGCUUUGGAAACUGUUUAACUUGAGUGCAGAAGGGGAGAGUGGAAUUCCAUGUGUAGCGGUGAAAUGCGUAGAUAUAUGGAGGAACACCGGUGGCGAAAGCGGCUCUCUGGUCUGUAACUGACGCUGAGGCUCGAAAGCGUGGGGAGCGAACAGG